Molecule: non-coding RNA, 29 nt
Filed under: Mus musculus (house mouse)
Lineage: Eukaryota; Metazoa; Chordata; Mammalia; Rodentia; Muridae
Source: RNAcentral
UAUUUCAUUUGCUUCCAUAUCUGCUUAAC